GGAAUAUUACGGACUCUAAAAAUAGGUGCUAAGUAACCACUCUGUCAGGAAAUGAUGUAUCACAAAGUUAAGCUUUCCGCUUAGGGAAUGUAAAAGGACUUUUCUUUUUCUCCGUUGUGUUCUGUCUUACGGGGGAAAGAGUGCCUCUCAGAAAGAGAACUCAAAAUCUGUACACGGGGAUUCUGUACCUUCUUCAUUCAUAGCAUUUUAUUAUUAUUUUUUUAAUGAGAUGUUUUCGGAUCCUUGAGCCGACAGUAGAGUCUCUGUUAUAUUCUUGGACCAGGGUUCUGGGGACCGGAUGCCUAUGAAGCCAAGGCCUUCACAACAAAAUACCCACACCCCAGCCUCACCCUCACCUUCAACCGGUGCUUUUAUCAGCUCUUCUUUGCCAGGAGGAAACAAUUACAGGAAGAACGUUGCUCCUCCAAAGAGUCUCUACAGAGAACAGCUUGCAGCACCUGGAAGAAAAAUAGGCUCUGCUAAAGGAAUCUAUGUUAAGGGCACGGAACUAUGCACCUUAAAAUGUUGAACGUUACGGACGACCGUGCCCUCACUUCCGCCCCUCACUGUGGUAGGACACACACCGUACCUACAGCGCAUGCCCCGCCAGCGCUCCCAGACACGGCUUGGGCGCCACGCACGUGCCCACGUGCCCACGUCUGCCCGCUCGUCAUCCACGUCACCACGCUCUCUAUCGCCUUGGCAGUCACUGCUGCCUGCUCACGCUUUCCUGAUCUUGAUCUUGAAAUCACCUCCUUGUCUUCCGAGCUUGAAGGCGACUACCCUUCCCUCCCCUUCGCUUUACUUGAGACAUUUGGAGAAGAGUCAGCUCUUAGCACCUGUUCUGCACAAGUCCAGAACCAAGUAAGUAGCUUGUGGUCAUCAUUAAGGACAAGCAAUCUGAAAUACCAUAUUGUACCGUGAUUGGGAAAGAUGAGGAAGAAGGUAACAGUGAGUGAAAAGACCAUAUUGAGAUAUUGUUGGAAGCCUUUGAGGUGGAAUGACAACCAUCUGACUUUUAGCCACCAUGAUAUUCUUUGGAUGAACUUCGCCUUCAGUACAUGAACAACUAAGAUCUGCUUUAACCUUGGCUUCUUGAGAGAAACCUCAGCCUAAGGUUCACUGUGAUGCAGGAAUUAUAUUAAGCAUAUUUACUAACCAGUACGGCACAGGCACCAAUCCAUUGGAACAGCUACGGGACCAUAAACAGUGGUUCAGUUGGACCAGUGCCAGCCAGCUGAAUCCCAGCCCCACCUGCGGUGAUCACAUAUUCCCUUUUCACCUAAGAGACAGCACUCAAUACCAAAUACAAGACAGUCAGAUGCCCCUCAAUGCCAGUGGCUCUUAAGGCGGGGGCGAAAAG
RNAcentral lists this long non-coding RNA (1363 nucleotides) under Mustela putorius furo (domestic ferret). RNAcentral describes it as "lncRNA (ENSMPUG00000031055.1)". Lineage: Eukaryota; Metazoa; Chordata; Mammalia; Carnivora; Mustelidae. The record is from RNAcentral.